CAUUAAGAAGCUAUGUACCAGCGUUAGCCUUUUAAGCUAAAGAAAGAGGACUUAACCCCUCCUUAAUGA
Molecule: transfer RNA, 69 nt
Filed under: Pycnonotus sinensis hainanus
Lineage: Eukaryota; Metazoa; Chordata; Aves; Passeriformes; Pycnonotidae
Description: tRNA-Lys
Rfam family: tRNA
About the family: Transfer RNA (tRNA) molecules are approximately 80 nucleotides in length. Their secondary structure includes four short double-helical elements and three loops (D, anti-codon, and T loops).
Source: RNAcentral